Molecule: unclassified non-coding RNA, 963 nt
Filed under: Hevea brasiliensis (rubber tree)
Lineage: Eukaryota; Viridiplantae; Streptophyta; Magnoliopsida; Malpighiales; Euphorbiaceae
Source: RNAcentral
CUUCACAUUCCAAUAAGCAAUUAACAUUCAAAUUCCGCAAACUGAGUCAUUAUAGACAUAAUCUUGACAAAGCUUCUCCUAGUAAACUCAAGAAAUCUUAGGAAAAUUGAGUAUUUAAUUUCCAACUACACAGUCGAAUGUCAGCUUCACAAAUACAAAAUGCAAAAAUUAUAAAUGCAUAGAUUCUUUUGGUUUUCUAAUUCACGUGCACUCUCUCUCUUCCAUCAAGUUAACAUCGAUCUUGUAUCUACACCAUUGUUGCUAGAUCUUCUUGAGUUGCUCCUAGCAUUGGUGAAGCCAAAGUCUUGCUUUGGUUGCUAGGUAAUGUAGAUGAUGGACACGCAUUCUUCCUCCCUUUGAUUUCUCUAUAGAGAUUGGAGAGAGCCAAAAAAGCAAGAAACCCAAAAUAACUUGCAAGGGCCAUAAGAAGAAAGGUUGAUAUGAAAACAAUGGUUAAACCAAUAGUAUCUUCAUAAGAAUCUAUAGGAGUUCCAUCUACAGCUACCCAUAUCAAUAUACCAGCAAUACAUGCACAUAUAAUAACCAUGACAGCAUUGAAAAUAAAUGACUCCCUUGGCUUCACAUUUAAACCUGUUCAAGUAAGGAAGUCCAAUUUACAAUGUUAAGAGUAAAAUAUAACAAAGAAAUUAAUAAAUUUAUAACAAAAAAAAAUUAUAAAGAUGGAACCAUAUUAUAGGUUAGUGGGAUUUAGGAACAUUGAAUACCUUGGUGUUUAUUGCCACUAGGCAAUGAAUUGUGCUCAUUGGAUGAUCUAUUACGUUGUUUCCUUGAUUUUGCUUCUGUGUUCACUGAAGUAGAUGGGGACAAUGGAGCUGCAAUCUUCUUGUCGCCGGCAGCCACCGUGGAGUUGAGUUCAUCAGUCAUCUUGUAGAAUUCGAAAAUUCUAAGCGAAGAUGAGAACGAAAAUCAUAGCAAUAAAUAGGCCCUGCCCAAAGAGUCAAC